AUUAGGUAGUAACAACCAUUUGAGUCUGGGAUUUCUGAAUGGGGAAACCCACGUGCAUAAGCACGUAUCCUUACCUGAAUACAUAGGGUAAGGAGGCGAACCGGGGGAACUGAAACAUCUAAGUACCCUGAGGAAAAGAAAUCAACCGAGAUUCCGAAAGUAGCGGCGAGCGAAAUUGGACUAGCCCUUAAGCUUUACACGCGUUAGACGAACGGUCUGGAAAGUCCGACGAUACAGGGUGAUAGUCCCGUAGUUG
RNAcentral lists this ribosomal RNA (256 nucleotides) under Vibrio parahaemolyticus. Its description in RNAcentral is "partial 23S ribosomal RNA". It matches the Rfam family "Bacterial large subunit ribosomal RNA", at positions 81 to 381 of the family's 2925-position model. The record is from RNAcentral. Lineage: Bacteria; Pseudomonadati; Pseudomonadota; Gammaproteobacteria; Vibrionales; Vibrionaceae.